RNAcentral lists this ribosomal RNA (398 nucleotides) under uncultured bacterium. Its description in RNAcentral is "partial 16S ribosomal RNA". It matches the Rfam family "Bacterial small subunit ribosomal RNA", at positions 360 to 775 of the family's 1533-position model. The record is from RNAcentral.
AAUAUUGGACAAUGGGCGCAAGACUGAUCCAGCCAUGCCGCGUGAGUGAUGAAGGCCCUAGGGUUGUAAAGCUCUUUCAACGGUGAAGAUAAUGACGGUAACCGUAGAAGAAGCUCCGGCUAACUUCGUCUCAGCAGCCGCGGUAAUACGAAGGGGGCUGUGGUUGUUCGGAAUUACUGGGCGUAAGGCGCAAUUAGGCGGAUUGGUCAGUUAGGGGUGAAAUCCCAGGGCUCAACCCUGGAACUGCCUUUAAUACUGCCGGUCUAGAGUUCGAGAGAGGUGAGUGGAAUUCCGAGUGUAGAGGUGAAAUUCGUAGAUAUUCGGAGGAACACCAGUGGCGAAGGCGGCUCACUGGCUCGAUACUGACGCUGAGGUGCGAAAGCGUGGGGAGCAAACAG